RNAcentral lists this ribosomal RNA (446 nucleotides) under uncultured bacterium. Its description in RNAcentral is "partial 16S ribosomal RNA". It matches the Rfam family "Bacterial small subunit ribosomal RNA", at positions 338 to 795 of the family's 1533-position model. The record is from RNAcentral.
CCUACGGGUGGCAGCAGUCGAGAAUCAUUCAUAAUGGGGGAAACCCUGAUGGUGCGACGCCGCGUGGGGGAAUGAAGGUCUUCGGAUUGUAAACCCCUGUCAUGUGGGAGCAAAUUAAAAAGAUAGUACCACAAGAGGAAGAGACGGCUAACUCUGUGCCAGCAGCCGCGGUAAUACAGAGGUCCCAAGCGUUGUUCGGAAUCACUGGGCGUAAAGCGUGCGUAGGCUGUUUCGUAAGUCGUGUGUGAAAGGCGCGGGCUCAACCCGCGGACGGCACAUGAUACUGCGAGACUGGAGUAAGGGAGGGGGAACCGGAAUUCUCGGUGUAGCAGUGAAAUGCGUAGAUAUCGAGAGGAACACUCGUGGCGAAGGCGGGUUCCUGGACAUUAACUGACGCUGAGGCACGAAGGCCAGGGGAGCGAAAGGGAUUAGAUACCCGGGUAGUC